RNAcentral lists this long non-coding RNA (358 nucleotides) under Mytilus galloprovincialis (Mediterranean mussel). The record is from RNAcentral. Lineage: Eukaryota; Metazoa; Mollusca; Bivalvia; Mytilida; Mytilidae.
UGACACUUUUUGCAUGCCAAAAUAAUUUUAUAGAUAUUGUUUUAAGGUAAUUCUGAACAGAUGUGUAUAAGUUAAAGGACAAGUGAUCUAUUGCUAUGGAGUUGUUAUCUUUGAUUGGUAUUUUUAAAUGCAGAGUACAAGGUAACUGGAACAUAAGGCAUUUUGAAUGGUCUUUUUUGUUACUUUGGAUAAAUUUAUUUUCUGGGUAUAGAUUUUUGUGGAUAAGGAUAAAUUGUUUUUCCUUUGAUUUGAUUUUAUGGCUUUACAAAAGUCUGCAUACAAAUCUAUAGAAAGUUUGUUGUUCGUUGAACAUUUUACAAUAAGGUGGUACCUAACACUACAGGGAGAUAACUCUGUA